UCAUGGCAAGAAAUAAUUGGCUUGUGACAAUCAACAUUGAAGCUGGAAAAAUGACAGCAUCCGAACGAGUAGACACAGCCCUAAUCAAGGCAAUAAACUACACUAAAGACAGAGGAGAAAGACUUAAAAUUGUUCCAACAUUUAUUCACAUCACUCCAGCUGACAGCCAGCCAACAAACUACCAGACACGUGAGCCCAACCAAGACCAGAAGAACCGUCCCACAGAGCCUAGUCUAAAUUGCCAACAUGCAAAUGCAUGACCACAGCAAAGUAAUCUUACAGCCCAGGACUCAGCUGCUGCAAUCUCUGUGAAAGGUACUUAUGACUAAUGCUGAUGCCACCAUGAAGCUCAGGAAUAAUUUACAGGGACAUGGGCUGUUCUGAGACCCCACAGCCAUGAAUCGCCUGAUCAUUCUGACAGAUUUCUGCAGAUGCUGUGCUUAGGUCACUGAGUUUCCCAGUUGUCAGUGGUGAACUGCAGCGGAGGCAGAAGGAAACUCUUCAGACACACUGUUCCUUUCAGGAAACAAGGGACAAAAGGGCUGCCCUGAGGAGACUUGGGAAAGCGACAUUUCCUCAAGCUCGAGGACAUCCCGAGGUGACUUUCCAAAACACUGGGUUAAAUUGGCCUGAUUGUU
Long non-coding RNA from Pongo pygmaeus (Bornean orangutan), 638 nucleotides. RefSeq lists it as uncharacterized. NCBI's taxonomy places the organism in Eukaryota, Metazoa, Chordata, Mammalia, Primates, Hominidae. The record is from RefSeq and is a predicted model, not a curated record. The transcript has 3 exons.